This 253-nucleotide ribosomal RNA is filed under the name uncultured bacterium. Its description in RNAcentral is "partial 16S ribosomal RNA". It matches the Rfam family "Bacterial small subunit ribosomal RNA", at positions 524 to 776 of the family's 1533-position model. The record is from RNAcentral.
UACGUAGGUUGCGAGCGUUAAUCGGAAUUACUGGGCGUAAAGCGUGCGCAGGCGGUUUUGUAAGACAGGUGUGAAAUCCCCGGGCUUAGCCUGGGAACUGCACUUGUGACUGCAAGGCUGGAGUACGGCAGAGGGGGAUGGAAUUCCGCGUGUAGCAGUGAAAUGCGUAGAUAUGCGGAGGAACACCGAUGGCGAAGGCAGUCCCCUGGGCCUGUACUGACGCUCAUGCACGAAAGCGUGGGGAGCAAACAGG